CCUACGGGAGGCAGCAGUGGGGAAUAUUGGGCAAUGGAGGAAACUCUGACCCAGCGACGCCGCGUGCGGGAUGAAGGCCUUCGGGUUGUAAACCGCUUUCGGUAGGGAAGAAGCGAAAGUGACGGUACCUACAAAAGAAGCACCGGCUAACUAUGUGCCAGCAGCCGCGGUAAUACAUAGGGUGCAAGCGUUGUCUGGAAUUAUUGGGCGUAAAGAGCUCGUAGGUCGUUUGUUACGUCGGAUGUGAAAACCUGAGGCUCAACCUCAGGCCUGCAUUCGAUACGGGCAAACUAGAGUUUGGUAGGGGAGACUGGAAUUCCUGGUGUAGCGGUGGAAUGCGCAGAUAUCAGGAGGAACACCAAUGGCGAAGGCAGGUCUCUGGGCCAAUACUGACACUGAGGAGCGAAAGUCUGGGGAGCGAACAGGAUUAGAUACCCUGGUAGUCCAGACUGUAAACGGUGGGCACUAGUUGUGGGAACCUUCCACGGUUUCUGCGACGCAGCUAACGCAUUAAGUGCCCCGCCUGGGGAGUACGAUCGCAAGAUUAAAACUCAAAGGAAUUGACGG
This 567-nucleotide ribosomal RNA is filed under the name uncultured bacterium. RNAcentral describes it as "bacterial SSU rRNA". It matches the Rfam family "Bacterial small subunit ribosomal RNA", at positions 338 to 916 of the family's 1533-position model. The record is from RNAcentral.